GAGGAGAGUGNNAUUCCUAGNGUAGCGGUGAAAUGCGUAGAGAUUAGGAAGAACNCCAGUGGCGAAGGCGACUNUCUGGACUGUAACUGACGCUGAGGCUNGAAAGCGUGGGGAGCAAACAGGAUUAGAUACCNNGGUAGUCCACGCCGUAAACGAUGAAUACUAGGUGUAGGGGUUGUCAUGACCUCUGUGCCGCCGCUAACGCAUUAAGUAUUCCGCCUGGGGAGUACGGUCGCAAGAUUAAAACUCAAAGGAAUUGACGGGGGCCCGCACAAGCAGCGGAGCAUGUGGUUUAAUUCGAAGCAACGCGAAGAACCUUACCUAGACUUGACAUCUCCUGCAUUACUCUUAAUCGAGGAAGUUCUCCCUUCGGGGAGGACAGGAAGACAGGUGGUGCAUGGUUGUCGUCAGCUCGUGUCGUGAGAUGUUGGGUUAAGUCCCGCAACGAGCGCAACCCUUAUUGUUAGUUGCUACCAUUUAGUUGAGCACUCUAGCAAGACUGCCGUGGUUAACGCGGAGGAAGGUGGGGAUGACGUCAAAUCAUCAUGCCCCUUAUGUCUAGAGCUACACACGUGCUACAAUGGCGAGUACAAAGAGACGCAAAGCCGCGAGGUGGAGCAAAACUUAUAAAACUCGUCUCAGUUCGGAUUGCAGGCUGAAACUCGCCUGCAUGAAGCUGGAGUUGCUAGUAAUCGCGAAUCAGAAUGUCGCGGUGAAUACGUUCCCGGGCCUUGUACACACCGCCCGUCACACCAUGAGAGUUGGCAAUACCCGAAGCCUGUGAGAGAACCGCAAGGACUCAGCAGUCGAAGGUGGGGCUAGUAAUUGGGGUGAAGUCGUAACAAGGUAGCCGUAUCGGAAG
Molecule: ribosomal RNA, 862 nt
Filed under: uncultured bacterium
Lineage: Bacteria
Description: bacterial SSU rRNA
Rfam family: Bacterial small subunit ribosomal RNA
Source: RNAcentral